CACGUAGGGACCAAGCGUUGUCCGGAUUUAUUGGGCGUAAAGCGCUCGUAGGCGGUUUGGUAAGUCGGGUGUGAAACCUCCAGGCUCAACCUGGUGACGCCACCCGAUACUGCCAUGACUUGAGUUCGGUAGGGGAGCGGGGAAUUCCUGGUGUAGCGGUGAAAUGCGUUGAUAUCGGAAGGAACGCCGGUGGCGAAAGCGGUCUGCUGGCCCUCUACUCGACGCUGAGGCGCGAAAGCCAGGGGAGCAAAGCGGG
This 256-nucleotide ribosomal RNA is filed under the name uncultured bacterium. Its description in RNAcentral is "partial 16S ribosomal RNA". It matches the Rfam family "Bacterial small subunit ribosomal RNA", at positions 524 to 777 of the family's 1533-position model. The record is from RNAcentral.